UGCCAGCAGCCGCGGUAAUACGGAGGGUGCAAGCGUUAAUCGGAAUCACUGGGCUUAAAGCGUGCGCAGGCGGACUGGUAGGUAUCUUGUGAAAUCCCACGGCUUAACCGUGGAACUGCAGGGUAAACCCCCAGUCUUGAGGCGGUUAGGGGUCAGUGGAACCAUGAGUGGAGCGGUGAAAUGCGGAGAUAUUCAUGGGAACGCCAAUGGCGAAGGCAGCUGACUGGGCCUGUUAUGACGCUCAUGUACGAACGCGUGGGGAGCAAACAGGAUUAGAUA
This 279-nucleotide ribosomal RNA is filed under the name uncultured bacterium. Its description in RNAcentral is "partial 16S ribosomal RNA". It matches the Rfam family "Bacterial small subunit ribosomal RNA", at positions 506 to 784 of the family's 1533-position model. The record is from RNAcentral.